GCAGUGGGCCAGUAUGGGGCAUUUCAGAGAGGAGGAGGGAAGGCCUCGUCUCCACGCCGUCAAAAUGUGAAAGGCCUGCUGUGAGAGGCUGUGUGGAGCUCGCAGCCGAGCGAUCUGGACCGAAGAGCGACGGAGACGGAGAGACAGAACCAAAAGGGCCGCAUCAUCCUCGCACAGGUUAUGUUCCCGCUGAGCCUGACCAGCAGCUGUUCUCCCUCCCUCAUGGAAAGUUCAGAUGAGGAUUCUGGAGGACCACAGUAACCCUGAUCCUGCAGUUCACACAUAGCCCAGCUUGCAUCUCUGCUGGACAGGGUCUCCACAACCACACUGCGGGGGUCCAGAUGCUUAUGAUGCAGCACCACUGUCACUGAAAAGCUCUUUACAGCCUCUUCUAGUUCUUCAACUAACAAAGCCAGGCAGGAGGAUUUUACAGAGGACUGAAGGCGAAGGACUAUUAACCUACGGUUGGAAGAAGUUUUUAAAGGUAGAGCAUAUUUCUGAAAUAUUGUAAAGAAACAUUUACAAUGUACAUGCAUUGGUUUUGGAUACCUUUCAUAGCUUUCUGUUAGCUCAAAACAGACCAAGCUGUUCUGUAAGUUCUUUACACUGACUUUAUCCAGAACCUUCCAGUGGUUCUCCAUCCAGCCU
Molecule: long non-coding RNA, 648 nt
Filed under: Danio rerio (zebrafish)
Lineage: Eukaryota; Metazoa; Chordata; Actinopteri; Cypriniformes; Danionidae
Description: si:ch73-380l10.4 (ENSDARG00000105807.2)
Source: RNAcentral